Molecule: ribosomal RNA, 468 nt
Filed under: uncultured bacterium
Lineage: Bacteria
Description: partial 16S ribosomal RNA
Rfam family: Bacterial small subunit ribosomal RNA
Source: RNAcentral
GACGAACGCUGGCGGCGUGCUUAACACAUGCAAGUCGAACGGAAAGGCCCUGCUUUUGUGGGGUGCUCGAGUGGCGAACGGGUGAGUAACACGUGAGUAACCUGCCCUUGACUUUGGGAUAACUUCAGGAAACUGGGGCUAAUACCGGAUAGGAGCUCCUGCUGCAUGGUGGGGGUUGGAAAGUUUCGGCGGUUGGGGAUGGACUCGCGGCUUAUCAGCUUGUUGGUGGGGUAGUGGCUUACCAAGGCUUUGACGGGUAGCCGGCCUGAGAGGGUGACCGGCCACAUUGGGACUGAGAUACGGCCCAGACUCCUACGGGAGGCAGCAGUGGGGAAUUGUGCACAAUGGGCGGAAGCCUGAUGCAGCAACGCCGCGUGCGGGAUGACGGCCUUCGGGUUGUAAACCGCUUUCGCCUGUGACGAAGCGUGAGUGACGGUAAUGGGUAAAGAAGCACCGGCUAACUACGUG